GACAGAGGUGCCAAGCGUUAGGCGGAAUCACUGGGCUUAAAGCGUGUGUAGGCGGUCAUGUAAGUCACUUGUGAAAUCCCACGGCUCAACCGUGGAACUGCUGGGUAUACUGCGAGUCUUGAGCCAUCUAGGGGCUACCGGAACAAAUGGUGGAGCGGUGAAAUGCGUAGAUAUCAUUUGGAACGCCAAAGGUGAAAACAGGUAGCUGGGGAUGUUCUGACGCUGAGACACGAAAGCCAGGGGAGCGAACGGG
This 253-nucleotide ribosomal RNA is filed under the name uncultured bacterium. Its description in RNAcentral is "partial 16S ribosomal RNA". It matches the Rfam family "Bacterial small subunit ribosomal RNA", at positions 524 to 776 of the family's 1533-position model. The record is from RNAcentral.